Long non-coding RNA from Drosophila navojoa, 315 nucleotides. The record is from RefSeq and is a predicted model, not a curated record. NCBI's taxonomy places the organism in Eukaryota, Metazoa, Arthropoda, Insecta, Diptera, Drosophilidae.
CAAAAUAAUGCAGGAGAUAAUGCCGACCGUUAAAAUAGCCGACUGCACAUAAUCCCAAAUAUCGGCUUUCGAAUACACUUACAGAUAAAAAUGCCUUUUUGACCGAGGAAAGCCAUUUCGCAGAAGAAAAAACAGAUGAAGAAUAUUCCGAUACCCAAGCUACAAGUGGGCAAGGGCACGCAGAAGCAACAGGUCUUAGUGGUCAUUUUCCGAUUUGGAUGAACAUAUGAAAAUUUUAAGAUUACUGAUUUUGAAAGUGCCUAAAGUUUUCUGACUCUGAAUGCUGAGCAAAGUUGAGUAAAAUAUGAUAACGGA